Molecule: non-coding RNA, 459 nt
Organism: Spodoptera litura
Lineage: Eukaryota; Metazoa; Arthropoda; Insecta; Lepidoptera; Noctuidae
Source: RefSeq, a predicted model, not a curated record
UAUCGAUUGGGCCUGCGCGUUGCAAUGUUUAUUGACCUUUAGUUUCGCGUCCAGGAUUUCUUGACUGACAAACUUCGAUUACAAGAGGGCAGGCAAGGAGGGUAUAGCCUGACUUCAAGCUGCAGAUAGAGCCAGCAGCUCAAAAGGUGCUGCAGAAUGAAUAGAAAAUGUUUCUUCAUAUUACUAGGUACGUUCAUCAUAAACAUAAUGUACCCGGUGGAGCCGUUGUACCAUAUCUUCUACACCGGUAUACCUUGGGUCAUGUCGGCGCAGUAUCUUAGGAAACUAUGGAUGACGCUUAUGUAUGAGAGUCAGGGUCGUGUCGAGCUGAAUAGUCUUGUACAGUAAGAAACAGGAGUUACGGUCACUAGCAUUUGUUAAGGUGUCGCAUCAAAACAACAGGAUGCUCGACUGAUUUUUACUUCAAUUUUACCUUAUUGAAUCGAAAAGCAUUGCCCC